AUUGAACGCUGGCGGCAUGCUUUACACAUGCAAGUCGAACGGUAACAGGGUGCUUGCACCGCUGACGAGUGGCGAACGGGUGAGUAAUGCGUCGGAACGUGCCGAGUAGUGGGGGAUAACGCAGCGAAAGUUGUGCUAAUACCGCAUACGUACUGAGGUAGAAAGUGGGGGGCCUUCGGGCCUCACGCUAUUCGAGCGGCCGACGUCUGAUUAGCUAGUAGGUGAGGUAAAGGCUCACCUAGGCGACGAUCAGUAGCGGGUCUGAGAGGAUGAUCCGCACACUGGGACUGAGACACGGCCCAGACUCCUACGGGAGGCAGCAGUGGGGAAUUUUGGACAAUGGGCGAAAGCCUGAUCCAGCCAUGCCGCGUGUCUGAAGAAGGCCUUCGGGUUGUAAAGGACUUUUGUCAGGGAGGAAAUCCCUAGUGCUAAUAACACUGGGGGAUGACAGUACCUGAAGAAUAAGCACCGGCUAACUACGUGCCAGCCGCCGCAGUAA
RNAcentral lists this ribosomal RNA (499 nucleotides) under uncultured bacterium. RNAcentral describes it as "partial 16S ribosomal RNA". It matches the Rfam family "Bacterial small subunit ribosomal RNA", at positions 30 to 523 of the family's 1533-position model. The record is from RNAcentral.